Gopherus flavomarginatus (Mexican gopher tortoise) is the source of this 423-nucleotide long non-coding RNA. RefSeq lists it as uncharacterized. The record is from RefSeq and is a predicted model, not a curated record. The transcript has 3 exons. Lineage: Eukaryota; Metazoa; Chordata; Testudines; Testudinidae.
AGCACUGGACUGCUCUCCACCCAAAGACUAGCUGGGAGGAAGGAGGUCAGUGCUAAAGCCAUAACUGAGGAGUCUAUUCCCCAUUUCAGAAGGUGCAUGGCUAUAUUGUUGACCAUGAGUCUGUAGACAUGGAUCUGUCCCCUAGAGAUAACUGGAGCAUCAAGAACUGCAGUACUGUAUGGAGUUUUCUACAGAUCUGUGCAAUGCCUUUUUAUUUGUGGAAAAGGAAGCCGUGGUUCUCAAACUUCCUGCAGCCCCCAUUGGCCUGGAGUGGCGAACCGGGGCCAGUGGGAGCCACGAUUGGCAGAACCUGCGGACACGGCAGGUAAACAAACCAGCCCGGCCCGCCAGGAGCUUUCCCUGAACAAGUGGUGGCCCAGGUUUGAGAAUCACUGUUCUACAGGAAUGGCUGAGGUUAGCCUA